This 559-nucleotide ribosomal RNA is filed under the name uncultured bacterium. RNAcentral describes it as "bacterial SSU rRNA". It matches the Rfam family "Bacterial small subunit ribosomal RNA", at positions 119 to 674 of the family's 1533-position model. The record is from RNAcentral.
CGGAAUCUACUUUUUCGUGGGGGAUAACGUAGGGAAACUUACGCUAAUACCGCAUACGACCUUCGGGUGAAAGCAGGGGACCUUCGGGCCUUGCGCGAUUGAAUGAGCCGAUGUCGGAUUAGCUAGUUGGCGGGGUAAAGGCCCACCAAGGCGACGAUCCGUAGCUGGUCUGAGAGGAUGAUCAGCCACACUGGAACUGAGACACGGUCCAGACUCCUACGGGAGGCAGCAGUGGGGAAUAUUGGACAAUGGGCGCAAGCCUGAUCCAGCCAUACCGCGUGGGUGAAGAAGGCCUUCGGGUUGUAAAGCCCUUUUGUUGGGAAAGAAAAGCAGCGGGCUAAUACCUUGCUGUUCUGACGGUACCCAAAGAAUAAGCACCGGCUAACUUCGUGCCAGCAGCCGCGGUAAUACGAAGGGUGCAAGCGUUACUCGGAAUUACUGGGCGUAAAGCGUGCGUAGGUGGUCGUUUAAGUCUGUUGUGAAAGCCCUGGGCUCAACCUGGGAACUGCAGUGGAAACUGGACGACUAGAGUGUGGUAGAGGGUAGCGGAAUUCCCGGU